This 216-nucleotide ribosomal RNA is filed under the name Glomeromycotina sp. RNAcentral's name for it is "partial small subunit ribosomal RNA". The stretch from base 40 to 216 matches the Rfam family "Eukaryotic small subunit ribosomal RNA", at positions 686 to 864 of the family's 1831-position model. The record is from RNAcentral. Lineage: Eukaryota; Fungi; Glomeromycota.
GGGUCAGUAGGUUGGUCGUGCCACCGGUACGUAGUGGUCUCACUGAUUCCUCCUUCUUGAAGAACCGUAAUGCCAUUAAUUUGGUGUUGCGGGGAAACAGGACUGUUACUUUGAAAAAAUUAGAGUGUUUAAAGCAAGCUAACGCUUGAAUACAUUAGCAUGGAAUAAUGAAAUAGGACGAUCGAUCCUAUUUUGUUGGUUUCUAGGAUUGACGUA